This 468-nucleotide ribosomal RNA is filed under the name uncultured bacterium. RNAcentral's name for it is "partial 16S ribosomal RNA". It matches the Rfam family "Bacterial small subunit ribosomal RNA", at positions 28 to 507 of the family's 1533-position model. The record is from RNAcentral.
GACGAACGCUGGCGGCGGGCUUAACACAUGCAAGUCGAACGGAAACGCCCUGCGUUUUUGCUGUGCUCGGGGGGCGAACGCGUGAGGAACAGGUGAGUAACCUACCCUUGACUUUGGUAUAGCUUCACGAAACUGGAGCUAAUACCAGAUAGCAGCUCCUGCUGCAGUGUGGGGAGUGGAACGUUUCAGCUGUUGGGGAUGGACGCGCGGCUUAUCGGCUUGUUGGUUGGGUAGUGGUUGACCAACCCUGUGGCGGGUAGGCGGCAUGUGAGGGUGACCGGGCACCUGGGGACUGAGAUACGGCCCAGAGUGCUAUGGGAGGCAGUAGUGGGGAAUAUUGCCCAAUGGGCGGAAGUGUGAUGAAGAAACGUUGCGUGUGGGAUGACCGUCUGUGGGUUGUAAACCGCUUCCGGUUGUGACGCCGCGUGAGUGACGGUAAUGGGUAAAUAAGCACCGGCUAACUACGUG